RNAcentral lists this ribosomal RNA (401 nucleotides) under Symbiodinium sp. CCMP2430. Its description in RNAcentral is "partial Bacterial large subunit ribosomal RNA". It matches the Rfam family "Bacterial large subunit ribosomal RNA", at positions 1685 to 2069 of the family's 2925-position model. The record is from RNAcentral. Lineage: Eukaryota; Dinophyceae; Suessiales; Symbiodiniaceae.
GGCGCUUGAGAGAACUCGGGUGAAGGAACUCGGCAAAAUGGUACCGUAACUUCGGGAGAAGGUACGCCUCUGUUUGUGAACACUUCGCGUGGUAAGCAAAUGGAGGCCGCAGUGACCAGGUGGCUGGGACUGUUUAUUAAAAACACAGCACUCUGCAAACUCGUAAGAGGACGUAUAGGGUGUGACACCUGCCCGGUGCCGGAAGGUUAAUUGAUGGGGUUAGUUUUCGGACGAAGCUCUUGAUCGAAGCCCCGGUAAACGGCGGCCGUAACAAUAACGGUCCUAAGGUAGCGAAAUUCCUUGUCGGGUAAGUUCCGACCUGCACGAAUGGCGUAACGACUUCCCCACUGUCUCCAACGCAGACUCAGCGAAAUUGAACUCUCCGUGAAGAUGCGGAGUAC